AGCGGCUCGAGCGGAGCAGCCGCCGCCCGUGCCAAGAGCGGCGGAGAUCUUAUCGGCAGGAGGAAGUGCUGAGCUAUCGCGCUGCUUUUCUCCGAACCGUCGACUUUACCAGGUUCAUGGUUACUCCUGCUGUGGUACCAAAGCUGCGCAGACCUGACUACAAACCUGCAAGUGGAAGGAAAACCCAGCAUGCCUCUGGAAAUCACCCUGUGAUUCAUAGGGUGACAUUCCUCUGAGUAAGCAUCGAGCUCAUGUCCAGCUUGAAGAUCGUUGUGAUUUAUGAAAUACAAAUAUGUGAUGUACAUCCAAGGCCACGAGUCGUGUCAUCUGCGAUGUUCUCUGCAGCAUCUAUGUUGGUAUUUGCCAGUCAUGAAUUCCCCACCACCUUCGGUGAACAAUUAGGCUGAUGACUACAGUGCUGUGAGUCAUUUCGUCAGUUUGAGUGCUAAAGGUCUGUGGGACGGAUUGAAUGAUUCCAGUCCUACUGAUGAUCCAUGUGGGUGUGAACAUGCCACAUGAUGGAACGUCUGUGGUUUUGAGUGUUGGAAAUUACAGACAAGGCGUAGUUUGUAGGUAAAAUCAAUAUCUUCUGGCAGACCAGCUGGUAGUCAGAAAAAUAUAUGACUUGAAGAGGGUUUCUGCAGAGAACCAGAGAUGCAAAAAAAAAAGAAUAGGUUUGGAAGAGACCUCGGGUAGUAUGUAGUCCAGCCUCCUGCUCAAAGCAUGGCCAGCUGUGGGAGCAUAUCUGGCUGCUCAGAGCUUUAUCCAGGUUACUCUUAAAAGCCUUGAAGUCCCUUGGAGAACUGUGUAAUCCAAAAUUAGGAGACUGAUUUGUCUCACUGUGUGUAUGGAUGUUGAUACUGCUGCUAAAUAUAAAGCAAGAUGCAAUUCCUUUCACAAGCACCCCUGCUUCAUUCAGAUCACAGUAUGGAUGUAUAUGUAAUAGGAAGGGGCUCAUAAGGAGGCACAUAGAAAGAUGUUUAUAACAGCUUUGAUUCCAGAAGUUAGAUGGCAUGUAAUCAUUAAGUAAGGUGGACUGUAGAAGUGAAGAUUUAGUCUGGUGGAUAAGUCUGAAUUAUCAUUAUUUGUUUGUGCAGAUAAUUUUCAAUCUACUGAUGGGUGAGUCUUGUACUUUCAACUGUAACUAAAAGAUAACUGAAGGGUUGGAACUGUUAGGUAUUUCUGGUUUUCAUCUAGAAAAUGAAAGGUGGAGUAAAAUGAGUUGUUUCAGUAAGACCAAAGAACGUACAUCUUGAUAAUUUAGAGAAACGUCAUCUCUAGUACGCUAGAGAUUGCUAUUAGCUGGUGGAAUUCUUCUGAAUAGGAUCACACUUGGUUUUGUGUGGCUUUGAGGCUUUGUCCUGAAAGUAAAAUCUUGGCCUUUCUAUUGGGUAAAUAUUUCAACUUAUGUAUUUUCCUACUUAAAAGAAUGCUGAAAUUCAGCAAGCACUGAUCAUCUGCCUGCAAGAACAACUAAGUUAACUUGAAUCUAUGUCCAACCAUUCCAGAAGUAGCCAACAUCUUUGAGAUAUUAUGAUACAGUAACAUUCAGUGAAAUAUAAUGAUGUUACUAACUGAAAUCUGUGUUCUGUGCUGCUAAAACAAAAAGUAUGUUAAACUCUGUCAUAUAAAGCUCACAUUUACUGUGAGUCCAGGAACAAUGUUAUCCUAACAUCUACUCCCUUACAGAAGUCCAUAACAAAAUUGUUCUCCUUUAUGAUCUUUCAGAAUUGAUGUAUUUUAUUAGUUUUGAUUUAGGUCACUAGGAUGCUUAGGUGUACAUAAAUUUAUGAACUGAUUUUGAUAAGAAUUGCAUGGAAACAAAUCUCCUUCCACACACUCCACACAAAACCCCAAUCAUGUUGCAGUGUCUUCUUUUCUUUUUCUUUCUUUCUUUUUUUUUUUUUUUUUCUUCUUAAAAUGUGUGUGAAAUAUGGACAGGUGGGGUUAAAACAUCUGACACUCUGGAACAGACCACUCACUGUCCAGAAACGUGAGACUCAAGGCUCAGAAAGGAAAAGUGUAACAAUACUACUAAGAAUGCCUCUUUUUGUUCACCAUCUGCUUAAAAGAACAAAACAGCUGCUUAAACAGGAUGUAGAUAACAUCAUCCCCAAUGUCCCUUUGUAAACAUUUUCCAAGGAGACAGUGAUUAGCUACUUCCUUUACAGGAUAUCUCUUGGUCAGCACCAGGAGGGGGGACACUGUUUAUUAGAAAUAUAGAAGUGAAUUGUUUUAACCUUUUAAAAGUACUUUCACAGAUAAAUUGUUGUGGCUCUGACAGUACCUUUGCAAAAGUGACAGGAUGAAAGUCAGGCUCAGAGAAAUGUGGGUUUUUUUGGUGUUUUGGGUGUGUGCUUUAAUGUAAUACUUAAAAAUUCUGUUUUUUGAAUACCAAGUAAAAUUGCAGUGAUCCUUUUAACUGGAAAGAAAUGUAGAUACAUGAUUUCCAACAGAUAGAGCUGCUCUGAAACUUCCAAACAGAAUGCACAAAAUCUGAUUUUGCUGUUGCAGAGCUGAAGGCCAGUAUUAAUGGUUUUGCCCAUUCUAUUUGCCUUGACAAAUAUAAGUGGUAGGGAUUGUAUGAAGAAGUACGAGUGACAGAUGAGGAGAAAGGAGUAAUCACAGGGGUUUCACAGAAUGUGGGUGUUUUAGGAAUGGUGUUUCUCUGCCCUUUGCUGCCUUUCUGAUCUUGUAAGCAGGGCAGAAAACAUUUCCAAACGGAUUUCACCCUUAAGUGCAAGCUAGUGCUGAUGUGAACUGAACACCAAUUGAAUGCUGAAUGUAGGUGGAUAUAAUGCAAUGUGUCAAUAAGUUCCAGAUUCCUUCUCUCCUAAGGGACCACCUUUCCUUUUGUAUUGCUUUAGGGGAAAUGCUCUUUUCCCUUCCAACCUGGUUUUGCUUACUCCUCCCACUGCUCUUGGCAUGCUUAGUAUGAGUCAGCUAAGGAAGCAAGAGAGAAAAAGCAUCUUCCCCCAAACUCACCCCAGCAUACCAUGGAGCUCUUGGUGCUGGGGGAUCAACAGAACAGGGUUGUAAACAAAGGUAGAGUGGCUACACCAAUGCCAGUGGUCGCUGAGGUCUUUCUGUCAUCUGUUGUUAUUGAUGCAAGAAUUAAUGGAAAGCUGGAUAUUAUUUUAAAAAGAUCAAGUACAUUUUUAGGUUAAGGAAAUUCUACUUUCAUUACAGGUGUCUUUGUAAACAUUCAGCUUAGAAAACAAUGCACAGUUGUCUACAUAUCCUCAGCACCUUCAGUGCUAAGAUUUCUGGCAGUCAGGCUACAAGAAUGACAGGUAAAGCAUCCAAAACUAGUAGCUCCAACUGGAAUUUGUGUGUUUGUUUUUUAAAUUCUUUGCUUACAGCUUUUUGUUUUGUUUCAAUGAUUUGUAAAAAUAAAUAAAUAAAUAAAUAAUAAUAAUAAUUAAUGCUAUCUUUCUUUAAUACUUUGGAGUGUUUCUUAAAUCCUAAGGUGUGAAUCUGAACAAUGAAGUCUUAUGACAACCUGGAAAUAACCUGUUAGUGAAAGAUUCUGGUACUGUCUGGACAUGGUUACUUGGGUGUGAGUUCUGUUUUCCUAUCUACCUGUUCUAUUUUAUCUACCUGGGAAUUUUGAAGGGGUGAUUGUCGAUGUUUGUUCAGGAUGACUAACAGGUUUUAAAAAGGGAUUUGUGCUAUUUCUUUGUCAAAUGCAGGCAUGUUUCAAGAUUUGAGCUUAAACUUAGUAGUAUCACUCUUUAAAAAGUCAGAAAACAAAGAGGAAGUGGGAAAAACAUUGUCAAUAAAUUGCAUGACUAAUAAGCCAGAGUAACUGAAGUAGCAUAUUCUAAUGCAGGUUGCUUUACAUCACAUUUCAGAGCAUGCCAAACAUUAGUGUUCUCAGUGCUAGUUGCAUCAGCUACAGGAUAUUACUUAAAAGUAUGGACAAAAUUUUAAUGUCAUUUCCACAGUAGAGGGAAAUGACAAUAAUGAAAGAAAAAUAUGCAUAAAUGAAAAUCAGAUUCAACCAAUACUCAAAUCAUGAUUUUACAAGGUGUAAACUAAUUGUAUACAGACAGGAAGACCUUUCAAGAUCUUUUAUCUCAGUCUGUUGUUGUGGCAAUGAAAAAAACAGUUCAGACUCUACUGAGGAUUUAUUUUGACCCAGAAUUGAGAAGCACUCAUAUGGCUUAGCAUUGUCAGGACUACUGAAAGUCAGGCACAUGUAGAUGUGCUAAGCCAUUUCAUUUUCAUGCAGAUUUUCUAAACUGUGCUAUGCUAAUCAUUGUGGUGAUGAUGCUGAAAUUAACAUAUGCAAUUUGAUUAUAUUUUAUAUGCUUAAAUAAGUUGCUCCACAGGUGCUGUGUAUAUCACAGAACAUGUUUAAGUAUAAUGCACAAAACUGAGAAGGACACUUUUUCUUUUUGCGUGCCUGAAUUUACAUAUAUGUAGUUCAAGUUAACAUACAGCCACAUUUUCAAGCACUGCAUACAUGUAUCCCUCAACACUUCCUGUACCACCUACCUGAUCCUCCUGUUCCCUGCAAUUCAAUUUCAGUGUUUCUCAGAAUAUUGGAGAUAUGAGGCAAUUCAGGAGGUCACCCAUCUAUCCAGCAAGUUUACCUCAGUCACAUGGCUUCUAUAUUUCAAUUUUCCUCCUAUUUAUGUAUAGACUACAAGAUGGUGGUUUCUGUUUGUUUUUAAUUUUGUUUUUAAUUACG
Molecule: non-coding RNA, 4696 nt
Organism: Coturnix japonica (Japanese quail)
Lineage: Eukaryota; Metazoa; Chordata; Aves; Galliformes; Phasianidae
Source: RefSeq, a predicted model, not a curated record